GAUGAACGCUGGCGGCGUGCCUAAUACAUGCAAGUCGAGCGAACAGAUGAGGAGCUUGCUCCUCUGACGUUAGCGGCGGACGGGUGAGUAACACGUGGAUAACCUACCUAUACGACUGGGAUAACUUCGGGAAACCGGAGCUAAUACCGGAUAAUAUAUUGAACCGCAUGGUUCAAUAGUGAAAGACGGUUUUGCUGUCACUUAUAGAUGGAUCCGCGCCGCAUUAGCUAGUUGGUAAGGUAACGGCUUACCAAGGCAACGAUGCGUAGCCGACCUGAGAGGGUGAUCGGCCACACUGGAACUGAGACACGGUCCAGACUCCUACGGGAGGCAGCAGUAGGGAAUCUUCCGCAAUGGGCGAAAGCCUGACGGAGCAACGCCGCGUGAGUGAUGAAGGUCUUCGGAUCGUAAAACUCUGUUAUUAGGGAAGAACAAAUGUGUAAGUAACUAUGCACGUCUUGACGGUACCUAAUCAGAAAGCCACGGCCAACUACGUG
RNAcentral lists this ribosomal RNA (497 nucleotides) under uncultured bacterium. Its description in RNAcentral is "partial 16S ribosomal RNA". It matches the Rfam family "Bacterial small subunit ribosomal RNA", at positions 28 to 507 of the family's 1533-position model. The record is from RNAcentral.